RNAcentral lists this microRNA (23 nucleotides) under Macaca mulatta (Rhesus monkey). RNAcentral's name for it is "Mml-Mir-550-P2_3p (mature (guide))". RNAcentral also lists the same sequence under 2 other names. The record is from RNAcentral. Lineage: Eukaryota; Metazoa; Chordata; Mammalia; Primates; Cercopithecidae.
UGUCUUACUCCCUCAGGCACAUC